This 852-nucleotide unclassified non-coding RNA is filed under the name Hevea brasiliensis (rubber tree). The record is from RNAcentral. Lineage: Eukaryota; Viridiplantae; Streptophyta; Magnoliopsida; Malpighiales; Euphorbiaceae.
GGAGGAGUUCCGAGCAACGGUGAUGCAUGCUGCGAAAGCUAUUUCUGGGGCCGACGGGAAGUCGAGCUCGGUUGGCAGCCGCGGAACGAAAGAAGGCGAUGGAGGCGAUGGCAGCGGGAGAAUUGUGUGCGUCACCAGUGGGGUGUCGUUCGUCGGCUUUGCUAUUGUCAACCGCCUUGUCGAACGGGGUUACAGCGUCCGUCUCGCGCUCGAAACACAAGAGGAUGUUGAGAAGGUGAGGGAGAUGGAAAUGUUUGCAGAGAUGGGGGCGGACGGCGUCUGGCCGGUGGUGGCGAAUGUCAUGGACCUCGAUAGCUUGUGCAGAGCUUUCGACGGAUGCUCCGGUGUGUUCCAUACCUCUGCAUUUGUUGACCCAUCAGGAGUGUCCGGUUAUACAAAGCAAAUGGCUAAUAUGGAAGCUAGAGCAGCAGAAAGAGUUAUAGAAGCUUGUGUGAGAACUGAAUCUGUUAGAAAGUGUGUGUUCACUUCCUCUCUUCUAGCCUGCAUCUGGCGCCAAAACUCACCUCUCAAUCACCAUCUUCCUGCCAUUGUUGAUGAGAAUUGCUGGAGCGAUGAAUCGCUAUGCAGGGACAGAAAGUUAUGGUUUGCAUUGGGCAAGACAAUGGCCGAGAAAGCGGCUUGGAGAGCAGCUCGAGGACGGAACCUCAAUCUCACAACCAUAUGCCCGGCCCUUGCCACAGGACCGGGAUUUUCCCGUCGGAAUUCGACUAGUUCCAUUGGCUACUUCAAAGGAGCUCAGGAGAUGUUUGCAGAGGGGAUGCUGGCGACUGUAGAUGUUAACAAUGUGGCAGAGGCACAUGUCCGUGUAUACGAGGCAAUGACAAACACCGC